GAAGAACACAAUGGAUCUGGUGCUAAAAAGAUGCCUUCCUCAUUUGGCUGUGAUAGGUGCUUUGCUGGCUGUGGGGGCUACAAAAGUACCCAGAAACCAGGACUGGCUUGGUGUCUCAAGGCAACUCAGAACCAAAGCCUGGAACAGGCAGCUGUAUCCAGAGUGGACAGAAGCCCAGAGACUUGACUGCUGGAGAGGUGGUCAAGUGUCCCUCAAGGUCAGUAAUGAUGGGCCUACACUGAUUGGUGCAAAUGCCUCCUUCUCUAUUGCCUUGAACUUCCCUGGAAGCCAAAAGGUAUUGCCAGAUGGGCAGGUUAUCUGGGUCAACAAUACCAUCAUCAAUGGUGAGUACUUCUCUAUUCUAGGUCCUUAUUCCUAGGGCUCAGGUUCCCUGGUAUGCCCAGUGAGCUCAGGGAAUGCCCCUUCCUUCUCUACUUUUUUUUUUUUUUUUUUUUUUUUCAUUUUUGAGAC
RNAcentral lists this small RNA (471 nucleotides) under Pan troglodytes (chimpanzee). RNAcentral's name for it is "retained intron". The record is from RNAcentral. Lineage: Eukaryota; Metazoa; Chordata; Mammalia; Primates; Hominidae.